Nycticebus coucang (slow loris) is the source of this 133-nucleotide small nuclear RNA. RefSeq annotates it as U11 spliceosomal RNA. The transcript has a single exon. NCBI's taxonomy places the organism in Eukaryota, Metazoa, Chordata, Mammalia, Primates, Lorisidae. The record is from RefSeq and is a predicted model, not a curated record.
UAAAAGGGCUCCUGUCAUGAGUGGCACACGUGGGGCAACUCAACUGCUCUUCGUGCGGAAUCAACAUCAAGAUAUUUCAGAAGCAUAAUUUUUUGGUACUGGGUAGCUGGUGAACGUUGCUCCCAGCACCCGG